RNAcentral lists this ribosomal RNA (306 nucleotides) under uncultured microorganism. Its description in RNAcentral is "bacterial SSU rRNA". It matches the Rfam family "Archaeal small subunit ribosomal RNA", at positions 330 to 591 of the family's 1478-position model. The record is from RNAcentral.
GUGCAGCAGGCGAGAAUCCUUCGCAAUGCAGGAAACUGCGACGAGGGAACUCCAAGUGCCUACGCUCAGCGUAGGCUGUUCUCAAGCCUAGAAAGCUUGAGGAGUAAGGGCUGGGUAAGACGGGUGCCAUCUGUGGUAGCAGUCAAUAGAUUCGAUUUGUUACUGCAAGGCAUAAGCCGCCGCGGUAAUACCCGCAGCCCAAGUGGUGGCCGCUUUUAUUGGGCCUAAAGCGUCCGUAGCCGGCCCGGUAAAUGCCUGGGGUAAAUCGUGGAGCCCAACUUCACGAAUUCCGGGUAGACUGCCGAG